This 474-nucleotide ribosomal RNA is filed under the name uncultured bacterium. RNAcentral describes it as "bacterial SSU rRNA". It matches the Rfam family "Bacterial small subunit ribosomal RNA", at positions 920 to 1391 of the family's 1533-position model. The record is from RNAcentral.
ACCGCACAAGCGGUGGAUGAUGUGAUUAAUUCGAUGCAACGCGAAAAACCUUACCUACCCUUGACAUGUCAGGAAGUCUGCUGAGAGGUGGAUGUGCCCCGAAAGGGAACCUGAACACAGGUGCUGCAUGGCUGUCGUCAGCUCGUGUCGUGAGAUGUUGGGUUAAGUCCCCGCAACGAGCGCAACCCUUGUCAUUAAUUGCCAUCAUUCAGUUGGGCACUUUAAUGAGACUGCCGGUGACAAACCGGAGGAAGGUGGGGAUGACGUCAAGUCCUCAUGGCCCUUAUGGGUAGGGCUUCACACGUCAUACAAUGGUCGGUACAGAGGGUUGCCAACCCGCGAGGGGGAGCCAAUCCCACAAAAGCCGAUCGUAGUCCGGAUCGCAGUCUGCAACUCGACUGCGUGAAGUCGGAAUCGCUAGUAAUCGUGGAUCAGCAUGUCACGGUGAAUACGUUCCCGGGUCUUGUACACACC